UACCAGCUCUCCGAGUGGUAGGGAUGAUUAUUGGGCUUAAAGCGUUCGUAGCCGGCUUAGCAAGUUUCCUGUUAAAUUCAGCGACCUAAUCGUUGAGCCGCGGGAGAUACUACUAGGCUAGGAGGCGGGAGAGGUCAACGGUACUUCCGGGGUAGGGGUGAAAUCCUAUAAUCCCGGGAGGACCACCAGUGGCGAAGGCUGUUGACUAGAACGCGCUCGACGGUGAGGGACGAAAGCUGGGGGAGCGAACCGGAUUAGAUACCCGGGUAGUCCCAGCUGUAAACGAUGCGAGCUAGGUAUUGGGGUGGCUACGUGCCACUUCAGUGCCGCAGGGAAGCCAUUAAGCUCGCCGCCUGGGGAGUACGGCCGCAAGGCUGAAACUUAAAGGAAUUGGCGGGGAGCACCACAAGGCGUGAAGCUUGCGGUUC
Molecule: ribosomal RNA, 428 nt
Filed under: uncultured archaeon
Lineage: Archaea
Description: bacterial SSU rRNA
Rfam family: Archaeal small subunit ribosomal RNA
Source: RNAcentral